GCUCCAGUAGCUCAGUUGGAUAGAGCAGCGCACUCCUAACGCGCAGGUCACAGGUUCGAAUCCUGUCUGGGGCAC
This 75-nucleotide transfer RNA is filed under the name Microgenomates group bacterium ADurb.Bin238. RNAcentral's name for it is "tRNA-Arg". It matches the Rfam family "tRNA". From Rfam's summary of the family: Transfer RNA (tRNA) molecules are approximately 80 nucleotides in length. Their secondary structure includes four short double-helical elements and three loops (D, anti-codon, and T loops). The record is from RNAcentral.